This 73-nucleotide transfer RNA is filed under the name Bacteroidota bacterium. RNAcentral describes it as "tRNA-Thr". It matches the Rfam family "tRNA". From Rfam's summary of the family: Transfer RNA (tRNA) molecules are approximately 80 nucleotides in length. Their secondary structure includes four short double-helical elements and three loops (D, anti-codon, and T loops). Further hydrogen bonds mediate the characteristic L-shaped molecular structure. tRNAs have two regions of fundamental functional importance: the anti-codon, which is responsible for specific mRNA codon recognition, and the 3' end, to which the tRNAs corresponding amino acid is attached (by aminoacyl-tRNA synthetases). tRNAs cope with the degeneracy of the genetic code in two manners: having more than one tRNA (with a specific anti-codon) for a particular amino acid; and 'wobble' base-pairing, i.e. permitting non-standard base-pairing at the 3rd anti-codon position. The record is from RNAcentral. Lineage: Bacteria; Pseudomonadati; Bacteroidota.
GCCCCCUUAGCUCAGUUGGUAGAGCAGCUGAUUUGUAAUCAGCAGGUCGGCGGUUCGAGUCCGUCAGGGGGCU